CGCCUUGCCAGCCCGCUCAGAAACUCAAAGGAAGUUGACGGGGCCCGCACAAGCGGUGGAGUAUGUGGUUUAAUUCGAUGCAACGCGAAGAACCUUACCUGGUCUUGACAUCCCGGAGACCCUUAGGAAACUAGGGGGUGCUUCCAUCUGGAAGAAUCUGGAGACAGGUGCUGCAUGGCUGUCGUCAGCUCGUGUCGUGAGAUGUUGGGUUAAGUCCCGCAACGAGCGCAACCCUUGCCUUUAGUUGCCAGCAGUUCGGCUGGGCACUCUAAAGGGACUGCCGGUGUUAAACCGGAGGAAGGUGGGGAUGACGUCAAGUCCUCAUGGCCUUUAUGACCAGGGCUACACACGUACUACAAUGGCCGAUACAAAGGGCAGCGACACUGCGAGGUGAAGCCAAUCCCGUAAAAUCGGUCUCAGUCCGGAUUGGAGUCUGCAACUCGACUCCAUGAAGUUGGAAUCGCUAGUAAUCGUGGAUCAGCAUGCCACGGUGAAUACGUUCCCGGGCCUU
RNAcentral lists this ribosomal RNA (511 nucleotides) under uncultured Desulfobulbus sp. Its description in RNAcentral is "bacterial SSU rRNA". It matches the Rfam family "Bacterial small subunit ribosomal RNA", at positions 903 to 1382 of the family's 1533-position model. The record is from RNAcentral. Lineage: Bacteria; Pseudomonadati; Thermodesulfobacteriota; Desulfobulbia; Desulfobulbales; Desulfobulbaceae.